This 1425-nucleotide long non-coding RNA is filed under the name Equus caballus (horse). RNAcentral's name for it is "lncRNA (ENSECAG00000039727.2)". Lineage: Eukaryota; Metazoa; Chordata; Mammalia; Perissodactyla; Equidae. The record is from RNAcentral.
GGGGUGUCUACAACCAGGUUCCAGCACUGCUCUACAAAAACAGAGCCACUCCUCCGACCUGGGCUCCCAGCACGGAACACCAGUUGGCAUGGCAUCUUACCACCAAGCCCAACUAUGACCUCAGAGUCCUUCUCAACACUGCACUCCACAAAGCCUCUAACAAGGAUCAGAGUAGGCACUGGAGAUGAAGCCUACUGCGAGUUCCUCUCCUAAUUUAUCCUCCAUCCUAACACACCAACAGUCCUUGACUUUAGUCUACUGGUUAAAUGAGGAAAGAAGUAAUAAGCAGGAACUAUGACCCAAGUCCACCAGAGAGCAACGAUGAGCAAAAACACCUCAUUUCAUGCCCAUAUGGAGCUCACAGUCAAAGGAGGGUGACAGAUGGAUCAAACCAUCCCAUAGCUUACUUCGAAGUCACAGCUGGCAUCAGUAUUACAAAGAGAAGUUACAGGGUUCCAUGAGAGUGUAAGAGUCAAAAUUAUGACCUACUCAGAGAUGUCAAGGGCAGCUAAGAAAACAAGAGGCCUGAACCGACAUGAAGGAAGCCUCCAUGCUGGAAAGAUCACACGGAGAGACUAAAUAAAAAUAGAGAGACAUUCCUGACAGUUCAGCUGUGCCAGCCCCCAGUGGUUUGAGUCUCCCCAGCUCAGGCACCAGACACAUGACUGACCCUUCAGACGAUUCCAGCCUUCUAUCUACUUCAACUGAUGCCAAGUAGAAUAGAGGCAUCUGCUUCACAGGGGGAGAUCCUGCCCUAGUAAGCUUACCACCCGAACAGCCAAUAAUAUGAGCACCCCGAAGACAGAUGCUUCCAAAAGAGAGAAGGUCACUGAGUUGCACACGCCGACUGUCUUCUUCAGAAUAUCAUCGGAUGUUGCUCCUUCUCGCUUGUGUUGAGUAAGAGAAGGGAAUAAAAGUUCCCUGCCACCAUGCGAGUGGGAGGAAUGGGGAGAGAAGCAUGUCUCCCUCACCCAAGCCAGCAUUGGCCCCAGGUGGGAAAAGCCAGCUGGCGAAUGGAGGCCACCCUGAGCCAAGAGAUGGAGAGAUCCUUGAUAAGAUCCUUUGAAUGACUGCAUCCAGCCAGCCAGACGUUAUGUGAGCCCAUGAAUUCUCCUUUGUGAAGUUUAUCUUGAGGUUCUGUCACUCUUUGUCAAGAAUCCUAAUGGAGAUAUGGUUGAAGAGAUGCUCCCAUGGCACCAAAGUAGAAAUUAUAUAAAAGAUAUUUCCAGAUCACAGAGAAGAGAGCUUUUCUGUUAGGUUUUGUUGUUGCUGUUGUUUUUGUUUUGGUUUUGGUUUUUUGGUUUUUUACUGGAGUAACAUGUUUGGCCCUGAAGUUGGAAAGUUAUUGUAAAAGUUCAAAAGUGAACUGAUGAGGAUAUUGACCACUUACUAGUCACUAGUUUAUUGAUAGUGACUAAAGCAAAG